This 1034-nucleotide ribosomal RNA is filed under the name Diplococcium asperum. RNAcentral describes it as "SSU rRNA". It matches the Rfam family "Eukaryotic small subunit ribosomal RNA", at positions 39 to 1088 of the family's 1831-position model. Lineage: Eukaryota; Fungi; Ascomycota; Sordariomycetes; Sordariales; Helminthosphaeriaceae. The record is from RNAcentral.
AAAGAUUAAGCCAUGCAUGUCUAAGUAUAAGCAUUUAUACCGUGAAACUGCGAAUGGCUCAUUAAAUCAGUUAUCGUUUAUUUGAUAGUACCUUACUACUUGGAUACCCGUGGUAAUUCUAGAGCUAAUACAUGCUAAAAACCCCAACUUCGGGAGGGGUGUGUUUAUUAGAUAAAAAACCAACGCCCUUCGGGGCUCCUUGGUGAUUCAUGAUAACUUCUCAGAUCGCACGGCCUUGCGCCGGCGACGGUUCAUUCAAAUUUCUGCCCUAUCAACUUUCGAUGGUAAGGUAUUGGCUUACCAUGGUUUCAACGGGUAACGGGGAAUUAGGGUUCGAUUCCGGAGAGCGAGCCUGAGAAACGGCUAGCACAUCCAAGGAAGGCAGCAGGCGCGCAAAUUACCCAAUCCCGACACGGGGAGGUAGUGACAAUAAAUACUGAUACAGGGCUCUUUUGGGUCUUGUAAUUGGAAUGAGUACAAUUUAAACCUCUUAACGAGGAACAAUUGGAGGGCAAGUCUGGUGCCAGCAGCCGCGGUAAUUCCAGCUCCAAUAGCGUAUAUUAAAGUUGUUGCAGUUAAAAAGCUCGUAGUUGAAUCUUUGGCCUGGCUGGCAGGUCCGCCUCACCGCGUGCACUUGUCCGGCCGGGCCUUUUCUUCUGGAGAACCGCAUGCCCUUCACUGGGCGUGUUGGGGACCAGGACUUUUACUUUGAAAAAAUUAGAGUGUUCAAAGCAGGCCUUUGCUCGAAUACGUUAGCAUGGAAUAAUAGAAUAGGACGCGCGGUCCUAUUUUGUUGGUUUCUAGGACCGCCGUAAUGAUUAAUAGGGACAGUCGGGGGCAUCAGUAUUCAAUUGUCAGAGGUGAAAUUCUUGGAUUUAUUGAAGACUAACUACUGCGAAAGCAUUUGCCAAGGAUGUUUUCAUUAAUCAGUGAACGAAAGUUAGGGGAUCGAAGACGAUCAGAUACCGUCGUAGUCUUAACCAUAAACUAUGCCGACUAGGGAUCGGGCGAUGUUUUUGACUCGCUCGGCACCU